GCAUUGGUGGUGUAGUGGUUAACAUGACUACCUUCUAAGCAGUUGGUCUGGGUGCAAUUUCCAGCCAAUGCA
Molecule: non-coding RNA, 72 nt
Organism: Terrapene triunguis (Three-toed box turtle)
Lineage: Eukaryota; Metazoa; Chordata; Testudines; Emydidae
Source: the annotation of a RefSeq genome assembly